This 254-nucleotide ribosomal RNA is filed under the name uncultured bacterium. Its description in RNAcentral is "partial 16S ribosomal RNA". It matches the Rfam family "Bacterial small subunit ribosomal RNA", at positions 524 to 776 of the family's 1533-position model. The record is from RNAcentral.
UACGUAGGGUGCGAGCGUUAAUCGGAAUUACUGGGCGUAAAGCGUGCGCAGGCGGUUUUGUAAGCCAGAUGUGAAAGCCCCGGGCUUAACCUGGGAAUGGCAUUUGGGACUGCAAGGCUUGGAGUGCGGCAGAGGAGACUGGAAUUCCUGGUGUAGCAGUGAAAUGCGUAGAUAUCAGGAGGAAUACCGAUGGCGAAGGCAGGUCUCUGGGCUGACACUGACGCUCAUGCACGAAAGCGUGGGGAGCAAACAGG